CCUACGGGGGGCAGCAGUCGAGAAUCAUUCACAAUGGGGGAAACCCUGAUGGUGCGACGCCGCGUGGGGGAAUGAAGGUCUUCGGAUUGUAAACCCCUGUCAUGUGGGAGCAAAUUAAAAAGAUAGUACCACAAGAGGAAGAGACGGCUAACUCUGUGCCAGCAGCCGCGGUAAUACAGGGGUCUCAAGCGUUGUUCGGAAUCACUGGGCGUAAGGCGUGCGUAGGCUGUGUCGUAAGUCGUGUGUGAAAGGCGCGGGCUCAACCCGCGGACGGCACAUGAUACUGCGAGACUAGAGUAAUGGAGGGGGAACCGGAAUUCUCGGUGUAGCAGUGAAAUGCGUAGAUAUCGAGAGGAACACUCGUGGCGAAGGCGGGUUCCUGGACAUUAACUGACGCUGAGGCACGAAGGCCAGGGGAGCGAAAGGGAUUAGAUACCCUAGUAGUC
RNAcentral lists this ribosomal RNA (446 nucleotides) under uncultured bacterium. RNAcentral's name for it is "partial 16S ribosomal RNA". It matches the Rfam family "Bacterial small subunit ribosomal RNA", at positions 338 to 795 of the family's 1533-position model. The record is from RNAcentral.